Long non-coding RNA from Cyprinus carpio carpio, 1011 nucleotides. The record is from Ensembl. NCBI's taxonomy places the organism in Eukaryota, Metazoa, Chordata, Actinopteri, Cypriniformes, Cyprinidae.
UAAGGUAUCAGUUAUUAACAUUAACUAUAUUAAUUAACAUGAACAAUAAUUAUAUAGCAUGUCAAUGUCAGUUAAUAGUCAAAACUUAAAAAAAAAAAUUAUCUGUUAACAUUAGUUAAUGCACUGUGAACUAAAAUCAACAAACAUUAAUAAAUCCUGUGAAAAUAUAUUGUUCAUGUUCAUUUACUAAUGUUUACAAAUUACACCUUAUUAUAAAGUGUUACAGUGUGUAAAACCUUUAUUGAUUUACACUGUGUGCACAAUUAUUAGGCAUGUUGAUAUUCUGAUUUUUUUUUUCCAAGUACAUUUUACCAAUUCCCAACGACAUCAAUCUUAAUAACUACCAUUAAUUUUGUAUUUAAUCAUUUAUGAGUGAUAUAUAAUUGUCCAUGAAGGCUGGAAGAGAAAAACUCCUUAUAUUCAGGUGUGCAGAAUUAUUAGGCAAUUCUUUUUUUUACAGAUGAAAUGAGCCAAAAAAGAGUUGUAACUCAGACUAAAAAGUCAAAAAUUAUUAAAUCCCCAUGAGAAUUAUUCAAAACUAUUGCAAUAAAAAAAUUGACAGGUGGAGAAAAGACACAAGUUAACUGCAAAAGAAUUAAGAAUUAAGACUUUUCAGAAUAGAAGAUGGAAUAAAAAUGAGCUCCCCAAACUUACUGCCAGAUUCUGGAACAGGGGUCAGGAACCUUUUUUGACCAAAGAGCAAAAUUUUUAUUUUUGGUUAAGAGCCAUUUUUCCAAAAGAGCAUAUAUGUGCUUGGAAAAUAUCAUCUGAAUAUCAAGUGCCUAAUAAUGAUGCACGCCGUGCAAAUAAUUUUUAAUGAUUUUAUUGAUCUAUAAGCAUUUGUGAAAUAUUUUUGCCGGCAUUACAGCUUGGUCUUCAUCUGUGAGCUUAUCUGUUUUACUGUUACAUCAUGAGUUGUGUAAAUUCAGAUAAAUGUCAUGUCACAGGAUGUCAUAGGUCAGUAUUUAAAUGAGUUUGAAAUUAUUAUUAUUAUUAUUAUUAUAAACCUAU